Non-coding RNA from Podarcis lilfordi (Lilford's wall lizard), 73 nucleotides. The record is from the annotation of a GenBank genome assembly. Lineage: Eukaryota; Metazoa; Chordata; Lepidosauria; Squamata; Lacertidae.
GCUGGGAUAGCUCAGUCAGCAGAGCGCGAGGCUCUUAAUCUCUGGGUUAUGGGUUCAAGCCCCACACUGGGCA